GAUGAACGCUAGCUACAGGCUUAACACAUGCAAGUCGCGGGGCAGCAUGGGGGUUGCUUGCAAUCCCCGAUGGCGACCGGCGCACGGGUGAGUAACGCGUAUCCAACCUGCCCUUCACCACGGGAUGACCCGGCGAAAGUCGGACUAAUACCGUAUGUUGUCCAUUGACGGCAUCCGAUUUGGACGAAAGGCUUGGCGGUGAGGGAUGGGGAUGCGUCCGAUUAGCCAGACGGCGGGGUAACGGCCCACCGUGGCUACGAUCGGUAGGGGUUCUGAGAGGGAGGUCCCCCACACUGGAACUGAGACACGGUCCAGACUCCUACGGGAGGCAGCAGUGAGGAAUAUUGGUCAAUGGGCGUAAGCCUGAACCAGCCAAGUAGCGUGCAGGAUGACGGCCCUAUGGGUUGUAAACUGCUUUUAUGCGGGGAUAAAGUGGCCCACGUGUGGGCUUUUGCAGGUACCGCAUGAAUAAGGACCGGCUAAUUCCGUG
RNAcentral lists this ribosomal RNA (490 nucleotides) under uncultured bacterium. RNAcentral's name for it is "partial 16S ribosomal RNA". It matches the Rfam family "Bacterial small subunit ribosomal RNA", at positions 28 to 507 of the family's 1533-position model. The record is from RNAcentral.